RNAcentral lists this ribosomal RNA (566 nucleotides) under uncultured bacterium. Its description in RNAcentral is "bacterial SSU rRNA". It matches the Rfam family "Bacterial small subunit ribosomal RNA", at positions 46 to 644 of the family's 1533-position model. The record is from RNAcentral.
GCCUAACACAUGCAAGUCGAACGAGAAAGUGGAGCAAUCCAUGAGUACAGUGGCGUACGGGUGAGUAACACGUGACUAACCUACCCUCAAGUGGGGAAUAACUUCGGGAAACCGAGGCUAAUACCGCAUAACAUCUACGGAUCAAAUGCGCAAGCAGCUUGAGGAGGGGGUCGCGGCUGAUUAGCUAGUUGGCGGGGUAACGGCCCACCAAGGCAAUGAUCAGUAGCCGGCCUGAGAGGGCGCACGGCCACACUGGAACUGAAACACGGUCCAGACUCCUACGGGAGGCAGCAGUGGGGAAUUUUGCGCAAUGGGGGAAACCCUGACGCAGCAACGCCGCGUGGAGGAUGAAGCCCCUUGGGGUGUAAACUCCUUUCGAUCGGGACGAUUAUGACGGUACCGGAUGAAGAAGCACCGGCUAACUCUGUGCCAGCAGCCGCGGUAAUACAGAGGGUGCAAGCGUUGUUCGGAAUUAUUGGGCGUAAAGGGUGCGUANGCGGUGCGGUAAGUCUUCUGUGAAACCUCCGGGCUUAACUCGGAGCCUGCAGGGGAAACUGCCGUGCUGG